Molecule: long non-coding RNA, 315 nt
Organism: Triticum aestivum (bread wheat)
Lineage: Eukaryota; Viridiplantae; Streptophyta; Magnoliopsida; Poales; Poaceae
Exons: 3
Source: RefSeq, a predicted model, not a curated record
AAGGGAUUAACUUGCUUUGAUGGCAUGCAGCUUCAGGGGAAAAUGGAAAUGUAGAGCUUAUAACAUCAUCGCAGAAAGUGGGGAAACCCAUUCGCUUACUAAGAUUCAUAUAGGUAUUCAUAUUCAGUUAUAUGAUGACAUGGAAAAUGGUACAUGAUGGAGCUGAGUUGUGACAAAGAUCAAAUUCUCUUGGUUAUAUGAUAUGCCACAUCAUCAGCAAAGGCAAAUGGGUCGAGAAUUUCAAUACUGGAUGAUUACAUGGAUCUUGGAGAAUGUAUGAUGAUUAAUGAUACUUGGAAGAGAAACAAGACAGCU